This 521-nucleotide long non-coding RNA is filed under the name Anas platyrhynchos platyrhynchos (common mallard). RNAcentral's name for it is "lncRNA (ENSAPLG00000025527.1)". Lineage: Eukaryota; Metazoa; Chordata; Aves; Anseriformes; Anatidae. The record is from RNAcentral.
AAAGGAGAAAGAUGCAGGGAUCCGGAAUGCUGUGUUGUAUGUCCUAUUAGGGGAUCCUGUUGUUUCCCCUAGCAAAAUGGGUCUCCCCAGGCAUCCAGAAGAGAAUUUAAAAUAGUGAGAAUUUAAUGGUAUACAUAUAUCAGCUCAAGCUUGAUGCUUACAAGGAAGUACACUGCUCAAGACUUUCCUUAAGUUCUUGUAUCCAUGCAAUCUUUGUUUCAUCCGCUACACUUCAAUCAGUUCUUGACACAUAUAUGUUAUGUUCCUUCAGAUUGGCAGUUCUUUGUUGUGGGGAAGGAUGAUUUCUGUUAUCUCCCAGGUAUGGAUCACAUCUGGCACUGUCCUUGGUCAACAUAGCCCACCACCCAUGCCACCCAGACCUGAACACAAUGCUACUCAAUGUGACUCAAUCGCUACUACGUAUCAGGCAUCGGAAAACUGCACCCUCACAGCUAUUUUUUAAUGAAUUAGCCUCUAAUUCACUGACCUCUUAAUGUCAAUAAACAAGUUAAGCCUGCACA